GACGGAGGGUGCAAGCGUUGUUCGGAUUUACUGGGCGUAAAGGGCGUGUAGGCGGUCGGUCAAGUCUGAUGUGAAAGCCCGGGGCUCAGCUCCGGAAGUGCAUCGGAUACUAGCCGGCUGGAGCGCGAUAGAGGAAGGUGGAAUUCCCGGUGUAGCAGUGAAAUGCGUAGAGAUCGGGAGGAACACCAGUGGCGAAGGCGGCCUUCUGGACCAAUACUGACGCUCAUGCACGAAAGCGUGGGGAGCGAACAGG
Molecule: ribosomal RNA, 253 nt
Filed under: uncultured bacterium
Lineage: Bacteria
Description: partial 16S ribosomal RNA
Rfam family: Bacterial small subunit ribosomal RNA
Source: RNAcentral